RNAcentral lists this ribosomal RNA (281 nucleotides) under uncultured Glomus. RNAcentral describes it as "partial 18S small subunit ribosomal RNA". It matches the Rfam family "Eukaryotic small subunit ribosomal RNA", at positions 591 to 877 of the family's 1831-position model. The record is from RNAcentral. Lineage: Eukaryota; Fungi; Glomeromycota; Glomeromycetes; Glomerales; Glomeraceae.
CCAAUAGCGUAUAUUAAAGUUGCUGCAGUUAAAAAGCUCGUAGUUGAAUUUCGGGACCAAUAUGUCGGUCGUGCUUCGGUGCGUACUGGCAUCGUUGGUUUCUCCCUUCUGACGAACCAUGAUGUCAUUUAUUUGGUGUCGUGGGGAAUCAGGACUGUUACUUUGAAAAAAUUAGAGUGUUUAAAGCAGGCUCACGCUUGAAUACAUUAGCAUGGAAUAAUGAAAUAGGACGUUUGAUUCUAUUUUGUUGGUUUCUAGGAUCGACGUAAUGAUUAAUAGGG